GCCUUCCAGCAAGGAACAGGACUACCUUUAAGCCUCCUAGCGCUGCCCUCAGAUGGGGGUAUUGUUCUCUCCAGUUUGUGUUAAACCCAGCCUAGCUAGGUUUAGCUCACGUAGCCUGUGUUUCCGCUCCCUGGUACUUAAUAAGCCUACGUUGCAGCUAUGGUGCCCGUUACCUUCUCACCUGUUCGCUUCUGCAAGGGAAGUGCUUGUUCUUAUGAUGGCAAAGGUGUCCAUGAGGUUUUACGUUUUGUGACUGUUCUUAUUUUGCCCACGUUUGUGUGACAAUUUUGCAUUUGUCCUUUUUGGCUGGGUCCCAAAAAUGGCUUAAAGAUGUAAAACAACUCCUAAAUGAACUUUAGACCUCAAAAUCUACAAUUACUCUCCCUGAAACAAGAGCUCCCGCGUGCUCCUUCUCUCCUUCACAUAUGCUGGGCAGUGAGGUCUGAGGCACCUGAUUCUUCUUGCUUGUCCUCCUCUACUCCCAGUUCCUCUCCGCGUGGAGACAGCUGCCCCAAGAGGAGCUCCUCGCGGCUCAGGCUGAGAUGAUUCCCCUUGCCCAGAUUUCACUCCUGGAGAAUUCCAGGUUUCUUUACACUCUCCACGUGCUGUUCUGUGCCUUGCUCUGCCCAGACGUGACACACAGGACCUGAGUGCUUCACUUGGGAUUUUUCCUUGGAGCUCAGUGGAACCGCCCCGGUUUGACUCCCCACAUCUUCGGCGUGGAAGGAGAUGCUCCCAGCAGGCAGAAAGUACAUCUCUACCCGGGAGGACAGGAACCGCGUGCUGCCGAUGCACCUGGGCUCCAGCUCCUCUGAUCCCUGCAGGACCGCGGGCGGCUGCGGGCAGAAGGUGCCGGUGGUGCAGCUGGAGGCUCACUCCACCUGCAGAGACCGCCCUGCCUCACUGGAGGCAUCCCAGCGCCUUGUGGCUGCAUCCUGACGUUGUUCCCAAGCAGCAGCCGGAGCCACUCGUGCUGCUGAGGACAGAAGGCAGUAAGUCGGCACCAGAGCACCGGGCCAAGGUCAGCGCUCUCCGCCAGACGCCGGCUGCCCAGAGCUCACCUCCCGCACACACUGCAAGAGGCGACGCCAAUGCUGGGACACGAGUAGCCUGAGCUACUUGUUCUAAAAAGAGAAGACAAAUGGAUUGUAGCUCUUUGUGCUUUCAGACGCCCAGCGAGCAGAGACACACGCAGAAGCUGAAGUAUUUAUGGCACACAAAGAACAUCCCUUUCAUCUUCAGUGUUUGAAAUCUUCCUUCAGAGCUUACCUGCGGGACAGUGCUGCACGCAGCUUGCCCAAAUACACUGUAUAAUUCACACAACAAAAAACUCAUAAAAGAACGUUAGGCCUGGAGGACAAACCCCUGAAAAAUCAGGAAUGCUUUGGGCAGAAGGACUGAAUUUUCAGGGCCUGCGUGGGAUGCGCAAGGAUGCUUCAGCGGGGUGUCAGAACUGACGGACUUGCCAGAGCCCACGGCCCUCCUGCAGGCCCCGGCAGCGGGCCCAGAGCAGCCCCGACCCCGCUGGGUGCCGGUGGGCUGCGUGCCCGGACCCCGGGGCUGGCCAUCAGCCGGGGGCAAGCAACCCGCUCUGCGCUCCCCUGGCACGGCCCCACCUCUCCUUGCUCAGGGAACAGGAACAAGAUGUGGCUGGGAUCUGAGUCAGAGACAAUAUUUCAAGUUUGAUA
Molecule: long non-coding RNA, 1688 nt
Organism: Oxyura jamaicensis (ruddy duck)
Lineage: Eukaryota; Metazoa; Chordata; Aves; Anseriformes; Anatidae
Exons: 3
Source: RefSeq, a predicted model, not a curated record